UACGUAGGCAGCGAGCGUUGUUCGGAAUUACUGGGCGUAAAGAGUGUGUAGGCGGUGCUCUAAGUUCGGUGUGAAAUCUCCCGGCUCAACCGGGAGGGUGCGCCGAAUACUGAGGAGCUAGAGUGCGGGAGAGGAAAGUGGAAUUCCUGGUGUAGCGGUGAAAUGCGUAGAUAUCAGGAGGAACACCGGUGGUGUAAACGGCUUUCUGGACCGUAACUGACGCUGAGACACGAAAGCGUGGGUAGCAAACAGG
RNAcentral lists this ribosomal RNA (253 nucleotides) under uncultured bacterium. RNAcentral describes it as "partial 16S ribosomal RNA". It matches the Rfam family "Bacterial small subunit ribosomal RNA", at positions 524 to 776 of the family's 1533-position model. The record is from RNAcentral.